UACGUAUGGGGCGAGCGUUGUCCGGAUUUACUGGGCGUAAAGAGCUCGUAGGCGGUUUGCCAAGUUAGAAGUGAAAUCCCAAGGCUCAACCUUGGGCUUGCUUUUAAAACUGGCAUGACUUGAGUAUGGUAGAGGAGUGUGGAAUUCCCGGUGUAGCGGUGAAAUGCGCAGAUAUCGGGAGGAACACCUAUGGCGAAGGCAGCACUCUGGGCCAAAACUGACGCUGAGGAGCGAAAGCGUGGGGAGCGAACAGGAUUAGAUACCCUGGUA
This 270-nucleotide ribosomal RNA is filed under the name uncultured prokaryote. RNAcentral's name for it is "partial 16S ribosomal RNA". It matches the Rfam family "Bacterial small subunit ribosomal RNA", at positions 524 to 792 of the family's 1533-position model. The record is from RNAcentral.